Molecule: ribosomal RNA, 253 nt
Filed under: uncultured bacterium
Lineage: Bacteria
Description: partial 16S ribosomal RNA
Rfam family: Bacterial small subunit ribosomal RNA
Source: RNAcentral
UACGGAGGGUGCAAGCGUUGCUCGGAAUCACUGGGCGUAAAGGGCGCGUAGGCGGGAUGGCAAGUCAGUCGUGAAAUCUCUCGGCUCAACCGAGAAACGUCGGCUGAUACUGCCGUUCUUGAGGGAUGCAGAGGAGACUGGAAUUCCCGGUGUAGCGGUGAAAUGUGUAGAGAUCGGGAGGAACACCGGUGGCGAAGGCGGGUCUCUGGGCAUUUCCUGACGCUGAGGCGCGAAAGCGUGGGGAGCAAACGGG